GCUAAGGUGGCGCCGGCGCGCCAGCGCGUGGCGGCGCGGGGGAUUGGGGCCGCGCCACCGCCUUGUGUAUACCAGCGAGGCGCUUGGGGUUCAGCCCGCUUGAGGGACUGCUCCGAUGGCAGAAUAAUACUGGAGGGACGCAGCAAAUCCAAGGACUCGUGCUCUGGCAGAGGCUGGUAUCUUGUGGGUGAGCUCCAGAGAAGAGAGACUCAAAUGCAUUGAUGACUUGUUGAGUACGUGACGGCUGUAUCUGCUCUACGUAACUCUAAGCUGCGUGCAUGCAUUCCUGCAUCUGUUAGGAUCACAAACGGGGCUGGAAGAGGCAUCACAGAAAGCACCAAACUUGGGCUGUGCCUGAACACCAAGCAAUGAAAACAAUUCAAGAGCAUGAAUGCAGUGGAAUGAAAAAUCACAAAGUGCUGAAGCUCCCUCAGGAUCAGUGCAACCUCCUGGGUAUCGCGUUGGACUGUAAUCGCUAAAGGAAAGCAGGGCUUUGUGCAAGUAAAAAUGAAGCAUAAGAACAUAACUUAAAGAUUAAGCUUAAAAACAUUUUCUCCCAUGAAUACACUUUU
Molecule: long non-coding RNA, 572 nt
Organism: Cygnus olor (mute swan)
Lineage: Eukaryota; Metazoa; Chordata; Aves; Anseriformes; Anatidae
Exons: 2
Source: RefSeq, a predicted model, not a curated record